GAUUCUGGGCGUAAGCGCACGCAGGCGGUCUGUCAAGUCGGAUGUGAAAUCCCCGGGCUCAACCUGGGAACUGCAUUCGAAACUGGCAGGCUAGAGUCUUGUAGAGGGGGGUAGAAUUCCAGGUGUAGCGGUGAAAUGCGUAGAGAUCUGGAGGAAUACCGGUGGCGAAGGCGGCCCCCUGGACAAAGACUGACGCUCAGGUGCGAAAGCGUGGGGAGCAAACAGGAUUAGAUACCCUGGUAGUCCACGCCGUAAACGAUGUCGACUUGGAGGUUGUGCCCUUGAGGCGUGGCUUCCGGAGCUAACGCGUUAAGUCGACCGCCUGGGGAGUACGGCCGCAAGGUUAAAACUCAAAUGAAUUGACGGGGGCCCGCACAAGCGGUGGAGCAUGUGGUUUAAUUCGAUGCAACGCGAAGAACCUUACCUACUCUUGACAUCCAGAGAACUUUCCAGAGAUGCAUUGGUGCCUUCGGGAACUCUGAGACAGGUGCUGCAUGGCUGUCGUCAGCUCGUGUUUGUGAAUGUUGGGUUAAGUCCCGCAACGAGCGCAACCCUUAUCCUUUGUUGCCAGCGGUCAGGCGGGGAACUCAAAGGAGACUGCCAGUGAUAAACUGGAG
This 617-nucleotide ribosomal RNA is filed under the name Klebsiella aerogenes. RNAcentral describes it as "bacterial SSU rRNA". It matches the Rfam family "Bacterial small subunit ribosomal RNA", at positions 547 to 1168 of the family's 1533-position model. The record is from RNAcentral. Lineage: Bacteria; Pseudomonadati; Pseudomonadota; Gammaproteobacteria; Enterobacterales; Enterobacteriaceae.